UACGGGGGGGGUAAGCGUUGUUCGGAAUUACUGGGCGUAAAGGGUUCGUAGGUGGCCAACUAAGUCAGACGUGAAAUCCCUCAGCUUAACUGGGGAACUGCGUCUGAUACUGAUUGGCUUGAGUGCAGGAGAGGAACGCGGAAUUCCAGGUGUAGCGGUGAAAUGCGUAGAUAUCUGGAGGAAUACCGGUGGUGAAGGCGGCGUUCUGGACUGCAACUGACACUGAUGAACGAAAGCCAGGGGAGCAAACGGG
RNAcentral lists this ribosomal RNA (253 nucleotides) under uncultured bacterium. RNAcentral's name for it is "partial 16S ribosomal RNA". It matches the Rfam family "Bacterial small subunit ribosomal RNA", at positions 524 to 776 of the family's 1533-position model. The record is from RNAcentral.